AGAUACCCUGGUAGUCAUGAGUUUGAUCCUGGCUCAGGAUUAGAUACCCUGGUAGUCAUGAGUUUGAUUACUCGCUCAGGAACGUACCCUUCGGUGCGGAAUAGGCCCUGGAAACGGGGUUUAAUACCGCAUACGCCCUUUUGGGGAAAGAUUUAUCGCCGAAGGAUCGGCCCGCGUUGGAUUAGGUAGUUGGUGGGGUAACGGCCUACCAAGCCGACGAUCCAUAGCUGGUUUUAGAGGAUGAUCAGCCACACUGGGACUGAGACACGGCCCAGACUCCUACGGGAGGCAGCAGUGGGGAAUCUUAGACAAUGGGCGCAAGCCUGAUCUAGCCAUGCCGCGUGAGUGAUGAAGGUCUUAGGAUCGUAAAGCUCUUUCGCUGGGGAAGAUAAUGACGGUACCCAGUAAAGAAACCCCGGCUAACUCCGUGCCAGCAGCCGCGGUAAUACGGAGGGGGUUAGCGUUGUUCGGAAUUACUGGGCGUAAAGCGCGCGUAGGCGGACUGGAAAGUUGGGGGUGAAAUCCCGGGGCUCAACCUCGGAACUGCCUCCAAAACUAUCAGUCUAGAGUUCGAGAGAGGUGAGUGGAAUUCCGAGUGUAGAGGUGAAAUUCGUAGAUAUUCGGAGGAACACCAGUGGCGAAGGCGGCUCACUGGCUCGAUACUGACGCUGAGGUGCGAAAGUGUGGGGAGCAAACAGGAUUAGAUACCCUUGG
Molecule: ribosomal RNA, 714 nt
Filed under: Roseivivax sp. K376
Lineage: Bacteria; Pseudomonadati; Pseudomonadota; Alphaproteobacteria; Rhodobacterales; Roseobacteraceae
Description: bacterial SSU rRNA
Rfam family: Bacterial small subunit ribosomal RNA
Source: RNAcentral